This 484-nucleotide ribosomal RNA is filed under the name uncultured bacterium. RNAcentral describes it as "partial 16S ribosomal RNA". It matches the Rfam family "Bacterial small subunit ribosomal RNA", at positions 30 to 507 of the family's 1533-position model. The record is from RNAcentral.
AUUGAACGCUGGCGGCAGGCCUAACACAUGCAAGUCGAGCGGAUGAAGGGAGCUUGCUCCUGGAUUCAGCGGCGGACGGGUGAGUAAUGCCUAGGAAUCUGCCUGGUAGUGGGGGAUAACGUCCGGAAACGGGCGCUAAUACCGCAUACGUCCUGAGGGAGAAAGUGGGGGAUCUUCGGACCUCACGCUAUCAGAUGAGCCUAGGUCGGAUUAGCUAGUUGGUGGGGUAAAGGCCUACCAAGGCGACGAUCCGUAACUGGUCUGAGAGGAUGAUCAGUCACACUGGAACUGAGACACGGUCCAGACUCCUACGGGAGGCAGCAGUGGGGAAUAUUGGACAAUGGGCGAAAGCCUGAUCCAGCCGUGCCGCGUGUGUGAAGAAGGUCUUCGGAUUGUAAAGCGCUUUAAGUUGGGAGGAAGGGCAGUAAGUUAAUACCUUGCUGUUUUGACGUUACCAACAGAAUAAGCACCGGCUAACUUCGUG